CACAGCAGUAGAUUGGCUACUCGUUACGACGUCCUGUCGCGACGCCGAUCGACUGUACAUCCUGUACG
Molecule: small RNA, 68 nt
Filed under: Tumebacillus algifaecis
Lineage: Bacteria; Bacillati; Bacillota; Bacilli; Caryophanales; Alicyclobacillaceae
Description: Bacillaceae-1 RNA
Rfam family: Bacillaceae-1 RNA
Source: Rfam by way of RNAcentral